RNAcentral lists this transfer RNA (71 nucleotides) under Marmota monax (woodchuck). Its description in RNAcentral is "tRNA.Ala". Lineage: Eukaryota; Metazoa; Chordata; Mammalia; Rodentia; Sciuridae. The record is from RNAcentral.
GGGGUUGUGGCUCAGUGGUAGAGCCCUCAGCUAGCAUGUGCGAGGCCCUGGGUUCAAUCCUCAGCACCACA